AAAAGGUGCCAUCUACAGGCUAACUGUCAACACUACAGCCUCUUAGCUCUCCAGCUUCCCAAAAAGAGCUGGUUUCUUCUCCUGAAACAGUAAUAUGCUAAUCCCAUGAGCUUGCCUUGUUGACUAAGAACCCUCACAACCGGGAUAUCAGAGCAUGGAGGAAACUUCCACUGCAUAGAUGCCUUACUGAAUUUAUCUGGCUUCAACUUCCAGCCAUUGGAUUAUGUUAAAUCUUUCUCUGUGAGACUGAGGAGCUCAUUAACAAAUAUUUGUUUCCCAAACAUGAUUCUGGGAUGCAUUAACAGCUCAUUGUCUUCCUUGUUCUUAAUCCUGCAAUGAAGGAAGUAGACUGUGUUUGUGAUGUUGCUGCAGUUUACAAGGCUGUCCUCGGAAGAGGAUUAAAAGAACUUUACACCGUAUCUUCAAACAGCAUGGGAAGAAUUCAACAUGCAUCUGUGGCUGCUUCUCCUCACAUCAGGGACACAAAUCAACAGAAAACUACCCACAUCUGACUAACAGAAUGUCUCCAUAAUGGUGAUUUUUUAAUACUUUUUUUUAAAAUGGUAAACAGGA
Molecule: non-coding RNA, 573 nt
Organism: Pelodiscus sinensis (Chinese soft-shelled turtle)
Lineage: Eukaryota; Metazoa; Chordata; Testudines; Trionychidae
Source: RefSeq, a predicted model, not a curated record